Molecule: ribosomal RNA, 253 nt
Filed under: uncultured bacterium
Lineage: Bacteria
Description: partial 16S ribosomal RNA
Rfam family: Bacterial small subunit ribosomal RNA
Source: RNAcentral
UACGUAGGUGACCAGCGUUGUCCGGAUUUACUGGGCGUAAAGAGCGCGCAGGCGGUCGUUCAAGUCGAGUGUGAAAGCCCCCGGCUCAACUGGGAGAGGUCCUUGCAUACUGGCGAACUCGAGGGAGGCAGAGGAAAGUGGAAUUCCCGGUGUAGUGGUGAUAUGCGUAGAUAUCGGGAGGAACACCUGUGGCGAAGGCGGCUUUCUGGGCCUUACCUGACGCUGAGACGCGAAAGCGUGGGGAGCGAACCGG